This 448-nucleotide unclassified non-coding RNA is filed under the name Hevea brasiliensis (rubber tree). Lineage: Eukaryota; Viridiplantae; Streptophyta; Magnoliopsida; Malpighiales; Euphorbiaceae. The record is from RNAcentral.
AGAAGUUUUCAUAGGAAUGAUUCUCAUCGGUCCUUAUCCACUCGUGUUUUUCCUGUGGUUUGGAGAUUUGGGAAUCGAGUUACACAUGUUCUAGCAAAAACUCCUCUAUUUCAAGUGCCAUAUUUAGUCAUUCAUGAGAAUUUAUCACCUCAUCUGCUUUCCCUUACUCAUCAUGAUAUGCCUGUAAUUUGAGUUUUUUCUAAUGUUAUUUGCUUUAAAAAAACAAAAUACAUGAUUUUUUAUGCUCCUGCUAGAGCAACCUACAUGUGUCUUUUUAAAUGAAUUUUGUAACAUUGAAAAUCAUCAGAGUCUACAGAUGAAAGGAGCAGUGCUAAUGAAUGAGUCAAUUGGGAUGAUCAAGAUCCAUGAUCAUCGGAGGAGAUCCAUGUAAUGUUACUAGAAACAAAGGAAAUUGUUGCCGCACUAUAAUAAAAAUAAUUUUUAAUUA